This 393-nucleotide ribosomal RNA is filed under the name uncultured bacterium. Its description in RNAcentral is "partial 16S ribosomal RNA". It matches the Rfam family "Bacterial small subunit ribosomal RNA", at positions 523 to 918 of the family's 1533-position model. The record is from RNAcentral.
AUACGGAGGACGCGAGCGUUAUCCGGAUUCAUUGGGUUUAAAGGGUGCGCAGGCGGCCGUGCAAGUCAGCGGUGAAAGCCCGGGGCUCAACCCCGGAAGUGCCGUUGAUACUGCAUGGCUGGAAUGCGGUCGAGGCGGGCGGAAAGGGGCGGGUAGCGGGGGAAUGCGUAGAUAUGCCACAGAACGCCGAUAGCGGAGGCAGCUCGCCAGGCCUGCAUUGACGCUCGGGCACGAAAGCGUGGGGAGCGAACAGGAUUAGAUACCCUGGUAGUCCACGCCGUAAACGAUGGGCGCUCGUCGUCGGCGGCAGACAGUCGGCGGCCAAGCGAAAGCGAUAAGCGCCCCACCUGGGGAGUACGGUCGCAAGGCUGAAACUCAAAUGAAUUGGCGGGG